GGACUACUGGGGUAUCUAAUCCUGUUUGAUCCCCACGCUUUCGUACCUCAACGUCAGUAUUAGUCCAGAAAGUCGCCUUCGCCACUGAUGUUCCUCCCGAUAUCUACGCAUUUCACCGCUACACCGGGAAUUCCACUUUCCUCUACUAUACUCAAGACACCCAGUAUCGAAUGCAAUUCCCAGGUUAAGCCCAGGGAUUUCACAUCCGACUUAAGAAUCCGUCUACGCACGCUUUACGCCCAAUAAUUCCGAUUAACGCUUGCACCCUCUGUAUUACCGCGGCUGCUGGCAC
This 292-nucleotide ribosomal RNA is filed under the name uncultured bacterium. RNAcentral describes it as "partial 16S ribosomal RNA". The record is from RNAcentral.